RNAcentral lists this ribosomal RNA (253 nucleotides) under uncultured bacterium. Its description in RNAcentral is "partial 16S ribosomal RNA". It matches the Rfam family "Bacterial small subunit ribosomal RNA", at positions 524 to 776 of the family's 1533-position model. The record is from RNAcentral.
UACGGAGGGUGCAAGCGUUAUCCGGAUUCACUGGGUUUAAAGGGUGCGUAGGCGGGUUGGUAAGUCCGUGGUGAAAUCCCCAAGCUUAACUUGGGAACUGCCGUGGAUACUAUCAAUCUUGAAUAUCGUGGAGGUAAGCGGAAUAUGUCAUGUAGCGGUGAAAUGCUUAGAUAUGACAUAGAACACCAAUUGCGAAGGCAGCUCACUACACAAUCAUUGACUCUGAGGCACGAAAGCGUGGGGAUCAAACAGG